Molecule: ribosomal RNA, 471 nt
Filed under: uncultured bacterium
Lineage: Bacteria
Description: bacterial SSU rRNA
Rfam family: Bacterial small subunit ribosomal RNA
Source: RNAcentral
CGCUGGCGGCGUGCCUAACACAUGCAAGUCGAACGGACGAGGGGAGCUUGCUCCUCGAGUUAGUGGCGAACGGGUGAGUAACGCGUGAGCAACCUGCCUUUCAGAGGGGGACAACGGUUGGAAACGACGCUAAUACCGCAUGAUGCAUUCUGACCGCAUGAUCGGGAUGCCAAAGAUUUAUCGCUGAAAGAUGGGCUCGCGUCUGAUUAGAUAGUUGGCGGGGUAACGGCCCACCAAGUCGACGAUCAGUAGCCGGACUGAGAGGUUGAACGGCCACAUUGGGACUGAGAUACGGCCCAGACUCCUACGGGAGGCAGCAGUGGGGAAUAUUGGGACCAAUGGGGGAAACCCUGACCCAGCAACGCCGCGUGAAGGAAGAAGGCUUUCGGGUUGUAAACUUCUUUUACCAGGGACGAAGGACGUGACGGUACCUGGAGAAAAAGCCACGGCUAACUACGUGCCAGCCGCUGC